AGCGAACGCUGGCGGCAGGCUUAACACAUGCAAGUCGAGCGGGCACUUUCGGGUGUCAGCGGCGGACGGGUGAGUAACGCGUGGGAACCUGCCCUCUGGUUCGGAAUAACUCAGGGAAACUUGAGCUAAUACCGGAUACGCCCUUUUGGGGAAAGGCUUGCUGCCGGAGGAUCGGCCCGCGUCUGAUUAGCUAGUUGGUGAGGUAACGGCUCACCAAGGCGACGAUCAGUAGCUGGUCUGAGAGGAUGAUCAGCCACACUGGGACUGAGACACGGCCCAGACUCCUACGGGAGGCAGCAGUGGGGAAUAUUGGACAAUGGGCGCAAGCCUGAUCCAGCCAUGCCGCGUGAGUGAUGAAGGCCUUAGGGUUGUAAAGCUCUUUUAUCCGGGACGAUAAUGACGGUACCGGAGGAAUAAGCCCCGGCUAACUUCGUG
This 435-nucleotide ribosomal RNA is filed under the name uncultured bacterium. Its description in RNAcentral is "partial 16S ribosomal RNA". It matches the Rfam family "Bacterial small subunit ribosomal RNA", at positions 29 to 507 of the family's 1533-position model. The record is from RNAcentral.